GUGAGAUCAAUGGAGGCUGAGGUAAAUCAUCUCGGAAAGGGUGAUGCUAGCCAAUAAACUUACGCUCAAGGCUGCAGGAACCCAAGUGCGGAAAGAGGAGCGCAGGUUGUCUCUAGGACUUGGAGGCGGGUGCCGUUUUUCCCGUGGUGAGUUCCUGGUUGCCUCAGAGAACUGAGGCCUUGUCCUGUCACCCACUCUAGUGUGUCCUCACUCCAGUCUCAGGGCCUGCACUGGAUUUGACAGAGUUUUGUGUCAACAUUAGAGGACAUUUUUGAAAAGAUUAAAAAGAAGAUCGUCCGUAAUCCCAGCAACCUAGCAAAGAACAGUUCUCACGCUGGAAGAGGGUCUAACCGGACUGAACAUCACAGUACUCUUGCGUCAGCAGCUGGAGGCAGUACGCAGAAGAGAAACAGGAAAAUAUGUGCUCUUCAGUUGUGAGGCGGAGAUGUGUUGCGUGAUUUGACUGAAGGACUUAGGUACCCUGGCAACCCUCUUCCAAGUAAAUAGAUUCUCAUUGUGCAUUAGCGCCUGACUACGUUAACGGAUGAGAGAAAAUAAGCAGACAACAGCCUGGAAAAUUCCAAGGUACUAGAAAGAUUCAUUUGGACUCAUUGAAGAGUCAAUGCCAGGUACACGAGGCUGGGUGGGGUCUUGGUGAAGGUUUUGCGUUUCCCAGUGCAGGAGAUCUUUCACAGGGCUCACAUGGACUUUCAAGUUGUCUUUUCCCACCAUCUAUUGACUCAGUGGAAGCCAGCUUUAGGAUUAUCAGGAAAUACUAGAGCUAUAGUACUCUGCCCACCCCAAACUCCCAAGGAAGAUACUAACGUAGAAAAGAUAGCUCAAACCCAAGUGAUUGUUUCCUAUUUUAUGAACAUUGUCAAGAGAACAUAAUGAAUAUAUAACAAGUUAAUAGGGAAAAUUAUAAGGUACAUGGGUUACCUUGAUGGUGGGAUCUCACUCAUUCUUAAAAUACAGUACUCAACACACUCUUGGGGUGCUCUCGCGAUGCUCUUGGCUGUCACCAUUAAGACUAGCAGCCAUUCAUUUGCUCUAAGUCACAGAGGAGCAAUGCAAAGCCCUCCCCACCCCUCUGUGUGGAGCGGCGGUUCUCAGCCUUCCUAACACUGCGACCCUUUAAUACAGUGCCUCAGGUUGUGCUGCCCCAGCCAUAAAAUUCUUUUUGUUGCUACUUCAUAACUGUAAUUUUGCUACUGUUAUAAAUUGUAAUGCAAACAUCUGCUAAGCAGGACAUCUGAUAUGUAACCCCCAAGGAAGGCCCGAACCUCCGACCCACAGGUUGAGAACCGCUGGUGUGGCGGUUCCAAGAGUCGAGAGUAGAAAGCCAUCAGUCUCAGAUGUUGACUGUGGGUCUUGUGACAAAUGAACGAAGCUCGUCAGCUUUCCUGGAGCACCUCAGUCCUUGAAUUAUGCACAGGCUGACUCCAGUGUGAGCUGAAAUAAACUGGAUCUCCUUGUUUGGAUCACAGCAUGCAAAAGGAAAACUGAACGGUAAAGAGGAAGUACAUUCACAAAUAAUUCCACCUGAAGGACAUCAUCAGGUAAGGCUCGCAGCAAAUAUGAUUAAAGGAGGUGGGUUUUGCUUUUCCACUUUUUGUUUAGUGAAGCUAAGACAACAGGGUGACGCGCGGAAGACGGCCAGACUAGAAAAGGACGGAGACUCAGGACCUCUGUGUUAAUGAAGGAGAAGCAGGGUACCACUGUCCGCUCCAAUUUCCUCAUGUUUAAAACGGGUGCCGUAACUGGGGAGCUAAAAGGCAGUCUUCACCUGUAAAGAGCUGACACCUGGUUUAUAGCAGCAGAGGUAGAAAACGGGUAACUCUGAGCACUGACUUGGGAUUCAGCUCUACACUGGCUAACAUGGCUAACACACCGGGGAGACUAAUGUGUGUUUCUGUUGACCCCCUCGAUCUCACCUGGAGUUAUCUUCAGAGUCAGAAGCGCAUCAAACUCAGGGGGCUCUUGAGAAUGUAGACCUCCAACCAUUGCAGUGGGACUGGCCUGGGGUGUGGCCUCUGGGCUCUACACUUCCUGCUCACAAGCACCUAGCCACUUCCCCCUCCCCCACCCCCUCUCAGGCUUUUAAGAUUUUUAAACCAGGUCUCAUCAUGUACUCCAGGUGAGUCACAAAGUCUCUACAGAGCUCAGGCUGGACUUGAACUCCUGAUUCUCCUGCCUCCACCUCCCAAGAGCUAAGAUUACAUGUUGGCACCAUUAUUUAUUUUUUCCCCUUUCUUUCAUUCGUUCUCAAAUCUUUGAAAACUUCAUCCAUGUAUAUACUAUAUCUUAAUCCUAUCUGUCCUUCACUCCCCUAUUCCAACUUCCGCAGGACCCUCCGAACUUCAUAUCCUCUUUUUAUACUAUGUAUUUACUAGUUUUGCAAAAAUGUUUUUUUAAAAAUACUUAUUUAUUUAUUCUGUAUUCAAUAUUCUGUCUGUGUGUAUGCUUGCAGGCCAGAAGAGGGCACCAGACCCCAUUACAGAUGGUUGUGAGCCACCAUGUGGUUGCUGGGAAUUGAACUCAGGACCUUUGGAAGAGCAGGCAAUGCUCUUAACCUCUGAGCCAUCUCUCCAGCCCCGCAAAAAUGUUUUAACCCAAGUAGUCAAUUAGUGUUGCCCAAUUGUGCACAAGUGUGAGGUUUUCCGCUGGGGCUUGGGGAGCCUGCCAAUGAUCACACCCCCAAGGAAAAGGAACUGCCCCUUCCCUAGCAGUGGGCAUCAGGUGUCAGCAGCUGUCAGCUAAGAGCAAGGCCUCAGGAGUCCCACCUCACUCCAUGUUGGUCUUUUUGUUGUUGUUUUUUGUUUCUCAAGAUAGGGUUUCUCUGUGUACCCUUGGCUGUCCUGGAACUCACUAUGUAGCCUAGGUUGGCCUCGAAUUCAGAGAUCCACCUGCCUCUGCCUCCCAAGGGCCUGGGUUAAAGGUGAGCACCGCCACCACCUGGCCCCCUUUUAACCGGCUUGAUCUCUCCAGUGCCGCCAUUUCUGGCUGGCUCUGUUCUUUCCAAUGGCAUAAAUUCUGGUCCCAGAUCUUCUCUCACCCCCACCCUGUACAAAUAAUCAGCUCCUUUCUUGUUAGAUUUGAGAGUAUGUGGCAUCCAGGAGCCACAGCCAUCCAGGGUUUGUCUCUCUUUCACAGGAACUGUCAAACUGACUUCUUCUGGGUCAGCCGUCUCCAUGUCAGAAGCCAUGUCUGAACAAAACUCCUGAAGCAGACAGUACUCUCUGCCCUCUGGCAGCCUCUCUGUGCCGGCCAGUGCCUUUCUCUUGCAGCCAUCUGAUUGUGUCUUGUGUGAAUUGUGGCUCCUUGAACAUCUGUGUCUCAUUGGUAUUAGUGGCCCUUUGAAGGCGGCUGUCUGAGCUCCCCAAGGUUCCCAGGGGAACCUUAACAUUCCCUUAACUCUGUAGACAGCCAACCCCCUGCUUUGAACACCUUCCCCAUGUCACAGUGCUUGCCACCAGCCCUGGCUCUGGGGUCUAAGUGUGAUGGCUAGGGAGAGCUACUGUAGUAUUGUCUUCUUCCCCAGAGCCCUUUCCACCAGGACUUAGAGCUUCCAGGAACUGUGAGUUGUCGGGUUUCUGAUUCUAUGCUAUAUAAUUCAGUGUUUGAAACUAAAUCCAGAGUCUCGUAUUUACUUCAGGUAAAACUCAUUUUGUUGAUGUUUUAGAACACUGCUUUCACUAAUUAAGGUCCUUGUGGAUUGUGACUCUGUCACCCACCUGACUAGUUAUCAGUCCCACUCGGUACCAUCUGGAAAUGGUUCAACAAGCACUAUCCACGCCCACGUAAGUACUUGAGAAUGUAUUGUUCAAGGGAACAGUGUUAAGUAGAAGACACAGAACCAUCAUUUUUACAAAUAAAAAGCACUCAGUUACAAUGUAUUGUUCCUGGGUUUCUAGGCUGGCAGUAGACUGCCAUCAAGAGUCUCAAGUUGAGCCAGGUGUGGUGGUACAUGACUUUAAUACCAGGACUCUAAUGGCAGAGGCAGGUUUUUGUGAGUUCAAAGCCAGCCUGGCUUACAAAAUGAUUUCCAGGCUAGCCAGGGCUAGCCUCUAGCUUCAGCUAUUUCACUAUUUGCUAUUUGGCCUGUGUUGGUGGCAUCACCCUGAGAUCCCACCCCAGCCCCAUGCAGAAUCAGUUGCUUUCUGAAGGCAUCAUGGAGUACGCUAACUCAUUUUCAUGGUCAUCUCGAUUGGAUUUAGGAUCACCUGGGAGAUUGAGGAGGCUCAUCUUUGGGUAGAUUGGAGGAGGCAUUUCCAGCAAAGAGACACUGAGAGAGUAAGACCCACCUGCCUCACACUGAAUAUCAGUGGUACCUUCUCAUGGGCUAGAGCUCAAGAUAGAACAAAAGGGGAAGAAACAGAACUCCAGCCUGGCACUUAUAGAUGCUCAGAACACGUUGUGGAUCCUUGGUCAUUGUGUUGAGUCUUUACUCCUCUAUUUCAGCAAACAGUCGCUAACUACUUGUUUGUUAAAUUAGCCUGGAACCUACACAGAGCCCAGCACCAAGCCCAGCAUCACCCUGCUGGUUUCUGAAACAGACAGCCCGCUUUUAAUACAAGCCCAUCUCUAUCUGUUUCUUAAGCCUUUCAGCAUAAUCCUUCCUGGCAUUCAUCUCAAGGUCUAUGCCCCAAUGGUAGCAACCAGGUUCUACCUCUGUGGUAACCGGGCCUGGUUGUGCAUCGACUUUGCAGCUAGCAUGUUUGAGCCCAUAUAACAUGAGUGAGGAAUCUUAUUAUCUAUGUAACUAGUUAGCUAGUGUCUCAUGGGGGAUUGAUGUAUAGCACUACCUCUAUCUGGGAGCCCGUGAUGUAGAUAAACACUUGCUUUUUAAGCCUCCUUCCCUCUCAUCCCUGCUCUAUGCUAAGCCCAUCCUCUGACACCUUGUUAUUACCACAAGUGUGCCCUAUAGAAAGGGUAACUAGAUGUCCUCGGGUCCUUUAUUUUUUUCAACCAUAUCAGACAGGCACAAUUUUCCUUGCUUAGUGGCACUUAACAAUCUGAAUUAAGAGUUCAGCUUCACUCUGUCAUCCGAAGGCACCCAUUACCGUGCAGAUCUAGAGUCGCAAACAUGGCGUAGCUAUCAUAGUUGCUGUCCCUUCACCAUCCUUUGGGAAAGCACUGAGUGCUCCUUCCCGGAUACCCGCUCUCCUCUGGCUUGAUCAGGGUUGGAAGGAAGCUGACAUACUCAAAGAGGGAGAAAGGUCUAACUUGUAGAGAGCAUGACAUGGGGAAGCUGAGGCAGGAUAAGGAAGCACCCUGGCUGUGACAACGACAAGAAGUUGAUACCAGUCCUGGGCCGGAAGGGUACGGUAUGGUUGCUGAACUCUGCAUUCCUACACAAUGCUUCUCAUGUAUCAAGCCAAAGAGAAGGCUUGAGAGCCCAGGGACUUGGUUAUGGUCAUCUUCCUGGGCCUAAAGAGAAGCAGAAGGGCAGAAGACAAACCAGAAAAGCAGGUGGGAGGUGUCCAGCACAGGGCUAUGGUUUUGGAUAAGCAUAUUUUCCUGUUCCCUCUCCUAAAGUUCAUUUUGAAAUUCUCUUGAUCAGAGUCUCUCGCCAAACAUGUUCAUCCUAAUUUCUUGAGAGCUGACUUCUUGCCAGGAGCCUGCAUCCAAAUAUACCAGUUCCACUUUAGAAGACCAAAUCCUGAUUUUGGAUGGCAUCAAAGAGCCAGCUGUUCAUUUCUAUUCUCCUACCUCUUCCAAAAUCACAAGCCUGGUGGGGAGGUGAGGUGACCUCGGUGAAAAGGUUAUUUGAUGUCCCCUCCCAUGGAGCUGCAACCCACAGGCUGAGAAUCACUUCCUGAGAAGGUGUUAUCUAAACAUUUUGAUCAAGACCAAUCAAAUAUUGUUUAAGGUUGCCUGUCCCUGAAUUGGCCCGAGCACAUGGCUGCUGAUGGCAAAUGCUACUGUCAGCCUAAGCUGGAGAAGCUUCUCUUUGCUGCGGAAGGAGGUGAGUGUAGGGACACAAGCCUGCUCAGGGUGCAGAGGCUAAGGAAAGGUGUGUGCCCAGCCAUAAGCAAAACAUUUACACCAUGGUCUCUAAGGUUCAGGAGAAUGCCAUGGUAGAUGAGGGAAAGAAGUAAGGAUUGGACCACAGGAAGUGGAGCUAUGGAAUGCUGUGGGAUAUUUACACACUGUGUGAAGAUAUAUUGCUGUGAUUAGCUUAAUAAAAAAAACCAACAGCCAAUAGCUAGGCAGGAGAGUAUAGGCGGGUCUUCCGGCAGAGAGAGAACUCGGGGAAGAAGAAAGGCGGAGUUGCCGGUCAGAUAAGGAGGAAGCAGGACGGACCUCCGGAAAUAAGGUAACGAGUCAUAUGAAAGAAUGUGGACUUAGUUUAAGUUAUAAGAACUAGUUAGGAACAAGCCUAAGCUAAGGGCAAGCAUUCAUAAUUAAUAACAAGUCUUAAUGUCAUUAUUUGUGGGUUGGCGGUCCAAGGAAGUCUGAAGAGAAAGCUUACUACAGUGGAAUGUCAGGGUGCAGUCCCUCCAACCACAGUGCCUGCACUGAGCUGCUGAAGAGCUGGCCUGUAAACAUCCAGCAGUGGAUGGGGGAGGGACUCAAGAGGCCUAGUUGGCUCUUCCUCCUGAACUAGUGGCCAUUGAUAGAUUCUGAGACUUGAAAGUCACUGUCAUUAGUCGAGUAACCACUGGUUACUACUACCGGGCUGUGAAGGAGAGUUACAAACCCACAGUGAAUUAACUGCUUUUUGUUGCUGCGAUAAAACACUGUGACCAAGAGCAAUGUAGGGAAGAAAGAGUUUAUUUUGGCUUAUGUUUCCAAAGGGAGAGUCCGUAAUGGUGGGAGAGGCGUGGCAACAAGAGACUGGAGCAGAGAGAUCACACCUCGACCACUCAGAGGAAGUAGAGAGAGACGUGGAAGUGGGCUGAGCUAAGAAUUCUCAAAGCCCACCCCAAGUGACACUUCCUUCAGCAAGGAUGCACCUCAUAAAUGUUCCUUAACUUCCCCCACAGAACAUAUCAUCUGGGGACCAAGUGGUCAAAUACUCGAGCCUAUGGGGGACGUUGUCAUUCAGAUCCGCACACACCAUCACACAGAUGGCCCUGGUUUAGUUCACUGGGUCUCAAUACAAAAUGGAAACCUGACUAGGGGAAGGGGGAUUGUGAGGAGGGGAGGAGAGUGAUGGGGUGGGAGGCAGGAUAAGAGGCAGGAUCAGGAUGCAGUGUACACAUAUAUGAGAAUGCCAAAGAACAAGAUAAAUAAGUAAAUGAGCACACACAGACACAUAUAUAUAAACUUGAUUGGCCUUGAACUCACAAAGAUAUGCUUGCCUCUCCCUAUCUACAGAGUACUGGAAUUAAACAUGUGCACUACAAUACCCAGCUAACUAAUAUAUUUUUAAAAAUGUAUUUGAUUUCAUCGUGUGUGUGAGUGUUUUGCUUGCAUGUAAGACUGUGGACCAUGUAUGUGUCUGGUGCUUGUGGAGGUUAGAAGAGGACACCAGAUCCCAUGAAGCUGGAAUUGUAGACAGUUGAGUCACCAUGUGGGUGCUGGGAGAGGAACCCGGUGCCUCACAAGAGCAGCCAGUGCUCAACAGCUGAGCCAUCUCUCCAGCUCUGAACAAUUAAUUUUUUUUUAAAGAAGAAAAGAAAUUGCGUAAACACAUUCUUACAGCCCCUGUGGGUUUAUAAUUCACACAUGAGUGCUAAUGUACUUAGACAUUCUAUAUGCUGUAAGCAAUUGUAAUACCAAAAAUGAAAUACCCAGGUAGUAAAUAAACUAUAUUUUAAAAUCAUAUUCAUUUUUAAUCACUAAGAGAGAGGACGAGGCAAGGAAGACGGUUGCUUUUGCCCUUCCUACCGCCUGAGGCUCAAGCUGAAAACAACUGCCUUAAUUCCAUCCAGACUCUGCUGUCUUCUGAGUCCCUGGUCUCUCGGGGACUCAGGAUAAUAGCACCUUGAGUCAACAUGGCUGUUUUUCUCCCUCUGUUAUUUGACUCCUGAUAUCUGCAACGUAUCUAGCUGGCAAUAGAUGACACUAGCAAGGAAGCUAGUUCUUUCCAAUAACCAUGGCAGGUGGCUGUCCAGCCCUGCCCACAGAGAUGUGAUUGACAGAGCUCCACCCUCACCUCCGCAGCCUUGCCUCUUCAUGCUCCUUCAUGCGGGAUGCCUGCCCUACUAACUCUAGACCAGCUCUUCUCAACCUGCCUAAUGCUGGGACCCUGCAACACAGUGCCUCAGGCUAUGGUGACCCCAACCAUAACAUUAUUUCUUUGCUACUCCAUUACUGUAAUUUUGAUACUGUUAGGAAUCAUAAUGUAAGUAUCCGAUUUGCAGGAUAUUUGGUACGUGAUCCCUGUGAAAGGGUUGUUCGACCUCCCCCAGGUUGAGAACCCCUACUCUAGAGUAUAGUGUACCUACCUAAUGACUUUUCAUCUCAAUGAAAUAGUAGGUUAAUCGGUGUGUGUAUGUGUCUAUACUCAUACUGUAUGUGCACACUUAUUAUAUUAUACAUAUUCUAAAUUAAAAGCUAGUACUUUAAAACAAUACUUACAAUAAGUAUAUUCACAAACAAUUGCCUACACACACACACACACACACACACACACAAGCAAAUAAAAUGGUAGAAAAUAACUACAAUUACUUAAUUUGUAUGACUGUUUUGUUCUUCAAAGCUCUUUUAAUGUUUUCUAAGCAUUCCCAGCAUUGUAUGGGAUUUGUAAAGCAGGAGUCGGCGUUCACAUCGCAGACACUUGAUGCAUUUUCCCCUUUGACUUCUGCAUUCCUGCAGGCACCGUCUGAGCACAGCCAGUCAACGUCUUUAAGCUGCGAUCGACAUGAUCAUUGAUCUCCUGAUGUGAUAAGUACACUGGCUCUGUCCUUAUCUCAGGAAAUAGACACGGGAAGACUUCAAAAUAGAGGGCUGUAGGCCGUUGCUCGUUCCCAAAUGACUAGAACGCGUUUUUUACCAUA
Molecule: long non-coding RNA, 8948 nt
Organism: Arvicola amphibius (Eurasian water vole)
Lineage: Eukaryota; Metazoa; Chordata; Mammalia; Rodentia; Cricetidae
Exons: 3
Source: RefSeq, a predicted model, not a curated record